Molecule: non-coding RNA, 1041 nt
Filed under: Ixodes scapularis (black-legged tick)
Lineage: Eukaryota; Metazoa; Arthropoda; Arachnida; Ixodida; Ixodidae
Description: Eukaryotic large subunit ribosomal RNA
Rfam family: Eukaryotic large subunit ribosomal RNA (bases 183-1041)
Source: Rfam by way of RNAcentral
GCCCUCCGGAUGCGGAGCGGGAAACCCGGCUGGGUCAACGGGUCCCCUGCCUUACGCCAGGUAUUCGCCUGACGUUCGGUGUUUGGCUCGGAACCGGCGAGGCGGGUUCUUUCCGCUGAGGGUCGUCAUGGUUAGCGGCGAGUAGGUCGGUAACCCACCCGACCCGUCUUGUAACACGGACCAAGGAGUCUAACAUGUGCGCGAGUCAAUGGGUCCCUCGAAACCCAGAGGCGCAAUGAAACGUGAAGGCGCGGCCUCGUGCCGUGCCGAGUUGCGAUCCUGGGCCGCCCAGGGUUCCGAUGAAGGGAGCAGCAACGGCCCGCCCCACACGCUCACGUCGUGGGGGCGGCGCUAGAGCGCACACGUUGGCACCCGAAAGAUGGUGAACUAUGCCCGGGCAGGAUGAGGCCAGAGGAAACUCUGGUGGAGGUCCGAAGCGCUUCUGACGUGCAAAUCGAUCGUCCGACCCAGGUAUAGGGGCCGGAAGCUCGUCCUCUUCUUGCGACGUUCGGCCUCGGCGACGCUCCUACGGACUACAACGUGGUCGUAAAGAAGUUUACGGCCCAUUUCGUUCACCCCCUCAACGAGGUGUACGAGUCGGCGCAGUUUCACCGGCGAGUCCAGCAGCCGGGGGAAACGGUGGACAGCUACUAUGCGGAACUCCGCAAGCUCUGCAAGAGAUGCAAUUACCCGUCACCCGAGGUCGUGAACGCCCUGUCCACGACCGCUUCAUCGUAGGCUUACGCGACACUCGCCUCGCCGAGCAGCUCUGCCGCAACCCCAAGUUAACCCUCAAAGAAGCAUGGGUGCAGGCGAGACAAGCAGAAGACGCCCAAAAGCAUAGAGACGAGCUCGCAGGCCACUACACGCAGUCUCGACCAGUGAGCCUCGACGCUUCCAAGUCUCGGCAGCCACAAGCGGGACGCGUCAAGUACAGUUCUGCACGCGACAAGUGCACCUCAAGCUCUAGCUCGUGCGGCUACUGCGGCCGCGCUUCACACGCUCGCUCGGAAUGCCCCGCCCGCAACUCGUUGUGCAACC